This 451-nucleotide ribosomal RNA is filed under the name Archaeoteleia mellea. RNAcentral's name for it is "eukaryotic LSU rRNA". Lineage: Eukaryota; Metazoa; Arthropoda; Insecta; Hymenoptera; Scelionidae. The record is from RNAcentral.
GCGGUAUGUCUGACGACGUCGGCGUGCACUUCUCCCCUAGUAGAACGUCGCGACCCGCUGGGUGUCGGUCUACGAGCUGGAAUGUUGACUGUACCGUCGUUUCGGCGAACGGUGGCAGGCAUCCGGUUAUCACUGACCGGCUGCCCGGCGGUACACGCACGGUAUCGAGCCGCAAUUGAACUGCGUUCAGACCCGUCGCAAGUUAGUGCCAUAUUCGGUGGUUCGGACCUAGUGCCGUCCCUGGAUCCUUUGGCCUACUGUUGGCAGACGGUGUUCUCGAACUGGCUCAUAACAAAUUUAUAUGUGAUACCGGUCGGCGACGCUUUUGCUUUGGGUACUUUCAGGACCCGUCUUGAAACACGGACCAAGGAGUCUAACAUGUGCGCGAGUCAUUGGGACCAAAAAGCCUAAAGGCGCAUUGAAAGAGAAGGUCGACCUCGCGUCGACUGAG